Macaca mulatta (Rhesus monkey) is the source of this 1454-nucleotide non-coding RNA. The record is from RefSeq and is a predicted model, not a curated record. Lineage: Eukaryota; Metazoa; Chordata; Mammalia; Primates; Cercopithecidae.
UAAACAGAUGAUUGAAAAAGUGAUGAAAUGUCACUUCUAAAAUUAGGUUACAGAGAGAAUGUGGUUUCGUUUUUGCUCACUCCCUCUUAUUCAGGGAAACUAGCUGCCUUUUUAUGUACUGCCCUAUGGAGAGGCACACAUGUCAAGAAACUGAGGGAAUGCCUUCCAGCCAACAGCCAGCCAGGAACUAAGGUGCUCAGUACAGCAGCCUCUACAAGACUGAAUAAUGCCAACAGCUAUUUGAUUGUGCUUGGAAGAAGAUCUCCAUUUAGUUGAACCUUCAGAUGAGACUGCAGCCCUGGCCAGCAAACAAAUUGCAGCCUAUGGAAAGACCUUAAGGCAGAGGCAUCCAACUGAACGACCCAAGGGCUCUGACUUACAGAAACUGUGAGCAGCUUCAGGAAAGAGGCACUGGCCUUUACUUCUCCACCUCGCUUCACUUCCAUGUUGUUGACAAAUGUUGUAGUUGCCCAGGAUCAGAGGGAGAGACAGACCCUGUGAUCACUUCCCCAAAGGCGGCCUUUGGCCACUCCGUGCACUGGAGCACAUGACCCUCUGCCUCGCCCCUGCCACAUUAACCAGGUGACUGUCUGCCAAGGCCCAGCCCAGUCCAAAGGGAAUUGGGAUUCAGCGUCCCAAACAAGGCACUGAUUAGCUGGUAAUCAGGGAGCGAUUAGCAGGUCGGGUCACCUGCAGUUCAUUGCCCAUUGUUCCCUGCAAAGUCCUGGGAUAUUUGCCACACGGGCUGGCCAGUCUGAAUGUCUGAGGAUUCCGAUGCCUGCAGCUCUGCUGUGUAGAUCUGUGAUUAGGAACAAAUCCUCUGUUCUCUCAGCCCAUCCCCCGAAGGAGGCAGUGCGGUGGGUGAAUCCCCUUCUCUAUUCACACACAAAGGAUUUGGGAGAAGAAUGGCCUGCUUAGGAGCUCAACAGUGACAGAGAGGUGAGGUCCCAAUAAUGCACUGAAGAACUGAAAGCAAAUUAGCACAUUCCUCUUCCUGAACCAUGAUGACUGAGAGUGGAGGAGCCCAGCAAGUCCACGUCCAGAUUGAGAUUCUACUGUGAUCUUGAGAUGUGACCUCAGACAAGAUUUUUAACCUCUGAGCUUGUUUACCUCGAUUUUAAGAGGGUUAAUAAUAACACUCGCCUCUUCAGCCUUUGAAGUUCAGAUUUAGAAAAUGAACAUAAAGCAGUUAAUACAGUCUCUGUAGCGUGUGACCAAUAUGGGCUAUCACCAUUAUCAUCAGUUAUAGUAAUAUCAAUAUUUAAAAUAUCAUAAUUAUUUGAAAUACUUUAUUUAAAAUAUGCCCCUGUAACAUCACUUCUAAAUGAGAGAUAGCCCCUUUGUAGGAGGCCCUGAUAAGGAGGAGAUGAGAUAAUUCUUGUAAAGCUUUCAUCACAGGACCUAGCAUGUAAUUAGCACUCAAUAAAUCAUAGUAAUAAUGGUGAUCACCGUCA